Molecule: transfer RNA, 57 nt
Filed under: Thyreophagus entomophagus
Lineage: Eukaryota; Metazoa; Arthropoda; Arachnida; Sarcoptiformes; Acaridae
Description: tRNA-Phe
Source: RNAcentral
AUAUUUUAAGUCUGUUAUAGGCAUUAGCUUUGAAGGGGCUAAAUUUUUUUGAAUAUU